GAUGAACGCUGGCGGCGUGCCUAACACAUGCAAGUCGAACGAAUCAGAUAUUCAACACUGAGUAUUUAGACGAAGGAAAAAAGUUAGCCAGCGUCAAGGACGAACGAUAGAGAGUCCUUUACGCGUUCAAAAAGUGUGCUAACACAUGAUAGUCUGAAUGUUGAGUGUUGAAUAUCUGAUUAGUGGCGGACGGGUGAGUAACGCGUGGGAAACCUGCCCUAUACAGGGGGAUAGCCUCGGGAAACUGGGAUUAAUACCCCAUAAAACUCUAGUAUCGCAUGAUACAUGAGCCAAAGAUUUAUCGGUAUAGGAUGGUCCCGCGUCUGAUUAGCUAGUUGGUGAGGUAACGCUCACCAAGGCGACGAUCAGUAGCCGGCCUGAGAGGGUGAACGGCCACACUGGAACUGAGACACGGUCCAGACUCCGUACGGGAGGCAGCAGUGGGGAAUAUUGCACAAGUACGGGGGAAACCCUGAUGCAGCGACGCCGCGG
Molecule: ribosomal RNA, 492 nt
Filed under: uncultured bacterium
Lineage: Bacteria
Description: bacterial SSU rRNA
Rfam family: Bacterial small subunit ribosomal RNA
Source: RNAcentral